GAUGAACGCUAGCGGCAGGCUUAAUACAUGCAAGUCGUGGGGCAGCAUGAGUAGCAAUACUUGAUGGCGACCGGCAAACGGGUGCGGAACACGUACACAACCUUCCUUCAAGCGGGGAAUAGCCCAGAGAAAUUUGGAUUAAUACCCCAUAAAAUAUAAAAAUGGCAUCAUUAUAUAUUAAAGCUUCGGCACUUGAUGAUGGGUGUGCGGCUGAUUAGAUAGUUGGCGAGGUAACGGCUCACCAAGUCUACGAUCAGUAGCUGAUGUGAGAGCAUGAUCAGCCACACGGGCACUGAGACACGGGCCCGACUCCUACGGGAGGCAGCAGUAAGGAAUAUUGGACAAUGGACGAAAGUCUGAUCCAGCCAUGCCGCGUGAAGGAUUAAGGUCCUCUGGAUUGUAAACUUCUUUUAUAUGGGACGAAAAAAGAGAAUUCUUUCUCACUUGACGGUACCAUACGAAUCAGCACCGGCUAACUCCGUGCCAG
Molecule: ribosomal RNA, 487 nt
Filed under: uncultured bacterium
Lineage: Bacteria
Description: bacterial SSU rRNA
Rfam family: Bacterial small subunit ribosomal RNA
Source: RNAcentral